Molecule: ribosomal RNA, 423 nt
Filed under: uncultured microorganism
Description: bacterial SSU rRNA
Rfam family: Bacterial small subunit ribosomal RNA
Source: RNAcentral
GAGUUUGAUCAUGGCUCAGAUUGAACGCUGGCGGUAUGCUUAACACAUGCAAGUCGAACGGUAACAGGCUAGCUUGCUAGCGCUGACGAGUGGCGGACGGGUGCGUAACGCGUAGGAAUCUGCCUAGUUAGUGGGGACAACCUGGUGAAAACCAGGCUAAUACCGCAUACGCCUACGGGGAAAGGCAGGGGAGUCUUCGGACCUUGCGCUAAUAGAUGAGCCUGCGUUAGAUUAGCUUGUUGGUGAGGUAAUGGCUCACCAAGGCGACGAUCUAUAGCUGGUCUGAGAGGACGAUCAGCCACACUGGGGACUGAGACACGGCCCAGACUCCUACGGGAGGACAGCAGUGGGGAAGUAUUGGACAAUGGGCGGAAGCCUGAUCCAGCAAUACCGCGUGUGUGAAGAAGGCCUGAGGGUUGUAAA